Molecule: ribosomal RNA, 396 nt
Filed under: uncultured bacterium
Lineage: Bacteria
Description: partial 16S ribosomal RNA
Rfam family: Bacterial small subunit ribosomal RNA
Source: RNAcentral
AAUAUUGCACAAUGGAGGGAACUCUGAUGCAGCAACGCCGCGUGAGGGAAGAAGGNCUNNGGAUCNUNAACCUUUGUCAUCGANNNNNAUAAUGACGGUCCUCGAGGAGGAAGCCCCGGCUAGCUACGUGCCAGAAGCCGCGGUAACACGUAGGGGGCGAGCGUUGUCCGGAAUUACUGGGCGUAAAGGGCGCGUAGGCGGCCUAAUAAGUCAGAUGUGAAACCCCCGGGCUUAACCCUGGGCUUGCAUUUGAAACUGUUGGGCUUGGGGACAGGAGAGGAAAGCGGAAUUCCCAGUGUAGCGGUGAAAUGCGUAGAUAUUGGGAGGAACACCAGUGGCGAAGGCGGCUUUCUGGACUGUAACUGACGCUGAGGCGCGAAAGCCAGGGUAGCGAAC